UCUUUAGAAGUAAAAGUCGUAACAAGGUUUCCGUAGGUGAACCUGCGGAAGGAUCAUUAAAGAUUCUAAGGCUUCGGUCUUAAUUUCGGCUGUGCGCUCAGGCUGCACGCCGUUAACCUCUCACACCUGUGCACCUUUUCGGUUGCGGUUUCGGCCGCUUCCGCUUUUACAUGCAACCACGAAAAGUCUAGAAUGUGACGAGAACUAUAAAGUAACAACUUUCAACAACGGAUCUCUUGGCUCUCGCAUCGAUGAAGAACGCAGCGAAAUGCGAUAAGUAAUGUGAAUUGCAGAAUUCAGUGAAUCAUCGAAUCUUUGAACGCACCUUGCGCUCCUUGGUAUUCCAUGGAGCAUGCCUGUUUGAGUGUCACGUAAACCCUCACCCCUGCGAUGUAACAGUCGCCUGCGGUGGACUUGGACCGUGCCGGUAAUCGGCUCGUCUUGAAAUGCAUUAGCUGGUGCUUUUAGAGUGCUGGGCGAACGGUGUGAUAAUUAUCUGCGCCGACUGCCCUGGGCCUCUUCAGCGGCGCUGCUUACAGCCGUCCCUUGUGGACAACUAUUUUAAAGCUUUGGCCUCAAAUCAGGUAGGACUACCCGCUGAACUUAAGCAUAUCAAUAAGCGGAGGAAAAGAAACUAACAAGGAUUCCCCUAGUAACGGCGAGUGAAGCGGGAUGAGCUCAAAUUUGAAAUCUGGCGGUCUCAGGCCGUCCGAGUGUAAUCUAGAGACGUAUGG
Molecule: ribosomal RNA, 734 nt
Filed under: Auricularia auricula-judae (jelly ear fungus)
Lineage: Eukaryota; Fungi; Basidiomycota; Agaricomycetes; Auriculariales; Auriculariaceae
Also listed under: 1 other name
Description: eukaryotic LSU rRNA
Rfam family: 5.8S ribosomal RNA (bases 217-370)
Source: RNAcentral